ACUCUUCAACCUACCGAUUUCUAGUAAAUCGGAUUAGUGUUUGGAUUUUGAACGCUUGCUGGCCUUUAUUGGCGAAGCUCGUUCGUAAAUGAUUAGCAUCUCAUAUUCGAAAAAUCGGAUUGACUCAGUGUAAUAGACUAUUCGCUGAGGACGCUCUUUCGGGAGUAGCCGAGUUUUGUAAAGUAGAAGCUUCUAAUUCUAUUAGUCAACUUUAG
This 215-nucleotide unclassified non-coding RNA is filed under the name Curvibasidium cygneicollum. RNAcentral describes it as "partial internal transcribed spacer 2". Lineage: Eukaryota; Fungi; Basidiomycota; Microbotryomycetes. The record is from RNAcentral.